AGCGUACACGGUGGAUGCCCUGGCAGUCAGAGGCGAUGAAGGACGUGCUAAUCUGCGAUAAGCGUCGGUGAGGUGAUAUGAACCGUUAUAACCGGCGAUUUCCGAAUGGGGAAACCCAGUGUGUUUCGACACACUAUCAUUAACUGAAUCCAUAGGUUAAUGAGGCGAACCGGGGGAACUGAAACAUCUAAGUACCCCGAGGAAAAGAAAUCAACCGAGAUUCCCCCAGUAGCGGCGAGCGAACGGGGAGGAGCCCAGAGCCUGAAUCAGUGUGUGUGUUAGUGGAAGCGUCUGGAAAGGCGCGCGAUACAGGGUGACAGCCCCGUACACAAAAAUGCACAUACUGUGAGCUCGAUGAGUAGGGCGGGACACGUGGUAUCCUGUCUGAAUAUGGGGGGACCAUCCUCCAAGGCUAAAUACUCCUGACUGACCGAUAGUGAACCAGUACCGUGAGGGAAAGGCGAAAAGAACCCCGGCGAGGGGAGUGAAAAAGAACCUGAAACCGUGUACGUACAAGCAGUGGGAGCCUCUUAAUGGGGUGACUGCGUACCUUUUGUAUAAUGGGUCAGCGACUUAUAUUCUGUAGCAAGGUUAACCGAAUAGGGGAGCCGAAGGGAAACCGAGUCUUAACUGGGCGUUAAGUUGCAGGGUAUAGACCCGAAACCCGGUGAUCUAGCCAUGGGCAGGUUGAAGGUUGGGUAACACUAACUGGAGGACCGAACCGACUAAUGUUGAAAAAUUAGCGGAUGACUUGUGGCUGGGGGUGAAAGGCCAAUCAAACCGGGAGAUAGCUGGUUCUCCCCGAAAGCUAUUUAGGUAGCGCCUCGUGAAUUCAUCUCCGGGGGUAGAGCACUGUUUCGGCAAGGGGGUCAUCCCGACUUACCAACCCGAUGCAAACUGCGAAUACCGGAGAAUGUUAUCACGGGAGACACACGGCGGGUGCUAACGUCCGUCGUGAAGAGGGAAACAACCCAGACCGCCAGCUAAGGUCCCAAAGUCAUGGUUAAGUGGGAAACGAUGUGGGAAGGCCCAGACAGCCAGGAUGUUGGCUUAGAAGCAGCCAUCAUUUAAAGAAAGCGUAAUAGCUCACUGGUCGAGUCGGCCUGCGCGGAAGAUGUAACGGGGCUAAACCAUGCACCGAAGCUGCGGCAGCGACGCUUAUGCGUUGUUGGGUAGGGGAGCGUUCUGUAAGCCUGUGAAGGUGGCCUGUGAGGGUUGCUGGAGGUAUCAGAAGUGCGAAUGCUGACAUAAGUAACGAUAAAGCGGGUGAAAAGCCCGCUCGCCGGAAGACCAAGGGUUCCUGUCCAACGUUAAUCGGGGCAGGGUGAGUCGACCCCUAAGGCGAGGCCGAAAGGCGUAGUCGAUGGGAAACAGGUUAAUAUUCCUGUACUUGGUGUUACUGCGAAGGGGGGACGGAGAAGGCUAUGUUGGCCGGGCGACGGUUGUCCCGGUUUAAGCGUGUAGGCUGGUUUUCCAGGCAAAUCCGGAAAAUCAAGGCUGAGGCGUGAUGACGAGGCACUACGGUGCUGAAGCGACAAAUGCCCUGCUUCCAGGAAAAGCCUCUAAGCAUCAGGUAACAUUAAAUCGUACCCCAAACCGACACAGGUGGUCAGGUAGAGAAUACCAAGGCGCUUGAGAGAACUCGGGUGAAGGAACUAGGCAAAAUGGUGCCGUAACUUCGGGAGAAGGCACGCUGAUAUGUAGGUGAAGCGACUUGCUCGUGGAGCUGAAAUCAGUCGAAGAUACCAGCUGGCUGCAACUGUUUAUUAAAAACACAGCACUGUGCAAACACGAAAGUGGACGUAUACGGUGUGACGCCUGCCCGGUGCCGGAAGGUUAAUUGAUGGGGUUAGCGGUAACGCGAAGCUCUUGAUCGAAGCCCCGGUAAACGGCGGCCGUAACUAUAACGGUCCUAAGGUAGCGAAAUUCCUUGUCGGGUAAGUUCCGACCUGCACGAAUGGCGUAAUGAUGGCCAGGCUGUCUCCACCCGAGACUCAGUGAAAUUGAACUCGCUGUGAAGAUGCAGUGUACCCGCGGCAAGACGGAAAGACCCCGUGAACCUUUACUAUAGCUUGACACUGAACAUUGAGCCUUGAUGUGUAGGAUAGGUGGGAGGCUUUGA
This 2122-nucleotide ribosomal RNA is filed under the name human gut metagenome. Its description in RNAcentral is "bacterial LSU rRNA". It matches the Rfam family "Bacterial large subunit ribosomal RNA", at positions 14 to 2160 of the family's 2925-position model. The record is from RNAcentral.